This 1134-nucleotide ribosomal RNA is filed under the name uncultured fungus. Its description in RNAcentral is "SSU rRNA". It matches the Rfam family "Eukaryotic small subunit ribosomal RNA", at positions 20 to 1163 of the family's 1831-position model. Lineage: Eukaryota; Fungi. The record is from RNAcentral.
GUAGUCAUAUGCUUGUCUCAAAGAUUAAGCCAUGCAUGUCUAAGUAUAAGCACUUUAUACUGUGAAACUGCGAAUGGCUCAUUAAAUCAGUUAUCGUUUAUUUGAUAGUACCUUACUACAUGGAUACCUGUGGUAAUUCUAGAGCUAAUACAUGCUACAAACCCCGACUUCAGGAAGGGGUGUAUUUAUUAGAUAAAAAACCAACGCCCUUCGGGGCUCCUUGGUGAAUCAUAAUAACUUAACGAAUCACAUGGCCUUGCGCCGGCGAUGGUUCAUUCAAAUUUCUGCCCUAUCAACUUUCGAUGGUAGGAUAGUGGCCUACCAUGGUGGCAACGGGUAACGGGGAAUUAGGGUUCGAUUCCGGAGAGGGAGCCUGAGAAACGGCUACCAUAUCCAAGGAAGGCAGCAGGCGCGCAAAUUACCCAAUCCCGAUACGGGGAGGUAGUGACAAUAAAUACUGAUACGGGGCUCUUUCGGGUCUCGUAAUUGGAAUGAGAACAAUUUAAAUCCCUUAACGAGGAACAAUUGGAGGGCAAGUCUGGUGCCAGCAGCCGCGGUAAUUCCAGCUCCAAUAGCGUAUAUUAAAGUUGUUGCAGUUAAAAAGCUCGUAGUUGAACCUUGGGCCUGGCUGGCCGGUCCGCCUCACCGCGAGUACUGGUCCGGCUGGGCCUUUCCUUCUGGGGGACCUCAUGGCCUUCACUGGCUGUGGGGGGAACCAGGACUUUUACUGUGAAAAAAUUAGAGUGUUCAAAGCAGGCCUUUGCUCGAAUACAUUAGCAUGGAAUAAUAGAAUAGGACGUGCGGUUCUAUUUUGUUGGUUUCUAGGACCGCCGUAAUGAUUAAUAGGGAUAGUCGGGGGCGUCAGUAUUCAGCUGUCAGAGGUGAAAUUCUUGGAUUUGCUGAAGACUAACUACUGCGAAAGCAUUCGCCAAGGAUGUUUUCAUUAAUCAGGGAACGAAAGUUAGGGGAUCGAAGACGAUCAGAUACCGUCGUAGUCUUAACCAUAAACUAUGCCGACUAGGGAUCGGACGGGAUUCUAUGAUGACCCGUUCGGCACCUUACGAGAAAUCAAAGUUUUUGGGUUCUGGGGGGAGUAUGGUCGCAAGGCUGAAACUUAAAGGAAUUGACGGAAAA